Molecule: ribosomal RNA, 460 nt
Filed under: uncultured bacterium
Lineage: Bacteria
Description: partial 16S ribosomal RNA
Rfam family: Bacterial small subunit ribosomal RNA
Source: RNAcentral
CCUACGGGGGGCAGCAGUGAGGAAUAUUGGUCAAUGGACGCGAGUCUGAACCAGCCAAGUAGCGUGAAGGAUGACGGCCCUAUGGGUGGUAAACUGCGUUUAUAAAGGGAUAAAAUGAGGCACGUGUGCCUUUUUGCAUGUACCUUAUGAAUAAGGAUCGGCUAACUCCGUGCCAGCAGCCGCGGUAAUACGGAGGAUCCGAGCGUUAUCCGGCUUUAUUGGGUUUAAAGGGAGCGUAGGUGGGUUGUUAAGUCAGUUGUGAAAGUUUGCGGCUCAACCGUGAAAUUGCAAUUGAUACUGGCAGUCUUGAGUGCAGUUGAGGUAGGCGGAAUUCGUGGUGUAGCGGUGAAAUGCUUAGAUAUCACGAAGAACCCCGAUUGCGAAGGCAGCUUACUAUACUGUAACUGACAUUGAUGCUCGAAAGUGUGGGUAUCAAACAGGAUUAGAUACCCCAGUAGUC